ACGCGAGCUGGGUUCAGAACGUCGUGAGACAGUUCGGUCCCUAUCCGUCGCAGGCGUAGGAAAUUUGAGAAGACCUGUCCUUAGUACGAGAGGACCGGGAUGGACGUACCUCUGGUGUACCAGUUGUCCUGCCAAGGGCAUGGCUGGGUAGCUAUGUACGGAAUGGAUAAGCGCUGAAAGCAUCUAAGCGCGAAGCCAACUUCAAGAUAAGAUUUCCCACCGCAAGGGUAAGACCCCAGAAAGACUAACUGGUUGAUAGGUCGAAGGUGUAAGUGCAGCAAUGUAUUUAGCUUAUCGAUACUAAUAGGUCGAGGACUUGACCAAU
RNAcentral lists this ribosomal RNA (325 nucleotides) under Clostridioides difficile. RNAcentral's name for it is "bacterial LSU rRNA". It matches the Rfam family "Bacterial large subunit ribosomal RNA", at positions 2598 to 2925 of the family's 2925-position model. The record is from RNAcentral. Lineage: Bacteria; Bacillati; Bacillota; Clostridia; Peptostreptococcales; Peptostreptococcaceae.